GCCCAAAGUUCGAAGUUUUAUAUUCAAAAUUCCAAAGGAAUUUUAUCGUUCAAAAUCGCUGAAUAUUUUUCAUCUACAACUUUAGAAAGUGGAAAUAUUUCCAGAUGCAUGGGCCCUCAUCAUUCGAAUAUUUACCAUCAAACAACAAAUAUGACUGGUUUAUAGUUUAUUUUGUCUAAACUGAUACAUUCCCAUGCACAUGCAAAUUACAUCCUCUGAGAAAAUCCACAAACUAACCCCUCUGAAAUUUGAAAUCGUUGACGUGGCUAGAAAAACAGUAAAUGCCAUACCAUCACAAUAUUUACUAAAUGUCGGCGGAUCCUUUUAUUUAUAUAUGUUACUGUAUAUUCUGUAGAUUUUAGAUUUUCUGCAUUUGUAUUUUAGCGAGUGCCGGUGGCGUGGUUGUCUAGGGCGUUGCGUGCAUUCUUACAUGCUGCUGAUUGGUGGUUCGAAUCCCGCAAUGGCCAAUGUUUUGUUUUUCGUUCUCAUAUUUUUUUUCUUUAAGAUUUUUCCUAAGAUUGCCUUUACAAUACAGGAGAGUUACUAUUGUAUGAUUAUAAAUUACUAUUAUUAAAUUGCCCCCUUCUUUCAAAAUUCGAUACUGAAUUAUUUUUUAAUAGUCGAGGCCAUUUUGUAGUUUGCAACUUCGCGGCAAUUUCCAAUUUCCAUAAUUGUGUUAAUUAAUGCUUAAUGUUGAGCCACUGACAUCAUCUGAUUUGAUCGUGGACAGGGGUCACAGAACGCCCGGGAUAAAUUGACUACACUUCAACACACUGAAGAUCUUCUACUCACAAUUUUUCCAUCUAUGGCACUUUACUUUAUCAGAGAAGAAAACUUUAGUGCACAUGCAGUUAGCAAAUUUAGCAGUCUGGUCAGCCUGGUUUGUACUUUGUACUAGGGAAGGGUUAUCUGUCACGAUUCAUCACUGUCAAAUUAAUUGAACAGACAAGUUCAAAUAGCACAAUCUAGACUGCUAGCUUAUUACUGUAAUAUCGGCAAUAUAGCUAAUACCCUUAAUAUAUGUAAACAAACUAUAUACCAACUGACAAACUAUAUUUACACAAAUUUGUCCAGAAGGAACAUCUGUUCGUAUUGCAAAUUUCUAGAGUCAUUUUACGCAUUCAGUGAUGUUUCAUGUAUCAAGUGUCA
Molecule: non-coding RNA, 1149 nt
Organism: Paramuricea clavata
Lineage: Eukaryota; Metazoa; Cnidaria; Anthozoa; Malacalcyonacea; Plexauridae
Source: the annotation of a GenBank genome assembly